RNAcentral lists this ribosomal RNA (301 nucleotides) under uncultured bacterium. RNAcentral describes it as "partial 16S ribosomal RNA". It matches the Rfam family "Bacterial small subunit ribosomal RNA", at positions 509 to 807 of the family's 1533-position model. The record is from RNAcentral.
CAGCAGCCGCGGUAAUACGAAGGGGGCUAGCGUUGUUCGGAAUUACUGGGCGCAAAGCGCACUUAGGCAGAUAUUUAAGUCAGGGGUGAAAUCCCAGAGCUCAACUCUGGAACUGCCUUUGAUACUGGGUAUCUUGAGUAUGGAAGAGGUGAGUGGAAUUCCGAGUGUAGAGGUGAAAUUCGUAGAUAUUCGGAAGAACACCAGUGGCGAAGGCGGCUCACUGGACUGGUAUUGACGCUGAGGUGCGAAAGCGUGGGGAGCAAACAGGAUUAGAUACCCCAGUAGUCCCUGUCUCUUAUAC